This 1327-nucleotide long non-coding RNA is filed under the name Felis catus (domestic cat). RNAcentral describes it as "lncRNA (ENSFCAG00000052344.1)". Lineage: Eukaryota; Metazoa; Chordata; Mammalia; Carnivora; Felidae. The record is from RNAcentral.
AAUGCCUAUCUUGUUUGUGCCAUCAGGCUGGUAUCGCGUGACACCGUCUCUUUGGGGACUUUCAAGCCCGCCCCACUCCCAGCCCUGAGCCUCGCUCCAGGACUCUCCCCUGCACCCCCUUCUUCUGGCCCUCCUCGCUCCAGGACUCUCCCCUGCACCUCUUUCUGGCCCUCCUCGCUCCAGGACUCUCCCCUGCACUCCCUUCUUCUGGCCCUCCUCGCUCCAGGCUCUCCCCCUGCACUCCCUUCUUCUGGCCCUCCUCGCUCCAGGACUCUCCCCUGCACUCCCUUCUUCGUCUCUCCUCGCUCCAGGACUCUCCCCUGCACCUCCUUCUUCUGUCUCUCCUCGCUCCAGGACUCUCCCCUGCACUCCCUUCUUCUGGCCCUCCUCGCUCCAGGACUCUCCCCUGCACUCCCUUCUUCUGUCUCUCCUCACUCCAGGACUCUCCCCUGCACCUCUUUCUGGCCCUCCUCGCUCCAGGACUCUCCCCUGCACCCCCUUCUGUCCCUCCUCGCUCCAGGACUCUCCCCUGCACCCCUUUCUGUCCCUCCUCGCUCCAGGGCUCUCCCCUGCACCCCCCUCUGUCCCUUGCUUGGCUGUCACAACUCAUGGGCUGUCCCACUGGCCUUUUCCAUCUCCUUAGCCACCCCCCACUCCCCGCCCCCUGCACCGCUCGCUCCCGGCUGUGUUUGCUUUGGUUUGUCUUCAUUUGGGCAUUUGGGCUUUUUCCUACUGCUCUUCUCUGAGCUUCCUGGACCAAAAGUUCAGUUCAGGGACGUUUGGUCCUUACGGGGUUCUGGGAGCGCGGCCAUGGCCCCAGCCUCCCUCCGCCCACCCCUGUGGUGGCGUCCUGCAGGUUUAACGGGUGCUAGUCCCACUUAUGCUCAUCUUUAAAUAGCAUGCAAUUUCCCUUCUGGUUUCCUUCGUGACCCCAAGUUUUAUAUAUAUAUAUAUAUAUAUAUAUAUAUAUAUAUAUAUAUAUAUAUAUAUAUAUAUAUAUAUAUGAGUGUUUUUAUUUGUGAUAUUGACUUCCAGGUAGAGACAUUUUUAAAGCAUAGACCUUGUUCUUAUUAAACUGCGUUGUGUUCAGCGAACAGAUUACAGGUCACACACGCAUAUGUUUUUGUACGAACGUGUGUGUGUGUGCACACUCAGUGAGCACACACAGAUUACCUAUCUGCCUUUGCAAUUUCUUGACAGUUUCCCUACGGUCAACAGAUGGCCAGUUUUCAUGGCUGUUCCAUGUAUGAUAGAACAUAAAUCAUGUAUUUGAGCAAGCCACAACGGAAAAAAUAAACUCAUGUUUAUUGUUUUAUUUCUUCCUUUU